CCCGGGAAACUGGGGCUAAUCCUCCCAUAGUGGAUGUAUCCUGGAAUGGUAUAUCCUCGAAAGAUCCGUCGCCUUAGGAUGGGACUGCGUCCGAUUAGGUUGUUGGCGGGGUAACGGCCCACCAAGCCAUUGAUCGGUACGGGUUGUGGGAGCAAGAUCCCGGAGAUGGAUUCUGAGACAUGAAUCCAGGCCCUACGGGGCGCAGCAGGCGCCAAACUUUACAAUGCGAGCAAUCGUGAUAAGGAAACCCUGAGUGCCUGUCGAUGCAGGCUGUUCAUAUAUCUAAAUCAUAUGUGAAGAAAGGGCAGGGCAAGACCGGUGCCAGCCGCCGCGGUAAUACCGGCUGCUCGAGUGAUGGCCACUAUUACUGGGUUUAAAGCGUCCGUAGCUUGACUGUUAGGUCUCUUGGGAAAUCUUCGCGCUCAACGUGAAGGCGUCUAAGAGAUACCGGCAGUCUUGGAACUGGGAGAGGUAAACCGUACUUCGGGGGUAGGAGUGAAAUCUUGUAAUCCUCGAGGGACGACCUAUGGCGAAGGCAGUUUACCAGAACAGCUUCGACAGUGAGGGACGAAAGCUG
RNAcentral lists this ribosomal RNA (577 nucleotides) under uncultured archaeon. Its description in RNAcentral is "bacterial SSU rRNA". It matches the Rfam family "Archaeal small subunit ribosomal RNA", at positions 131 to 713 of the family's 1478-position model. The record is from RNAcentral.